RNAcentral lists this transfer RNA (88 nucleotides) under Desulfobacterales bacterium. RNAcentral's name for it is "tRNA-Ser". It matches the Rfam family "tRNA". From Rfam's summary of the family: Transfer RNA (tRNA) molecules are approximately 80 nucleotides in length. Their secondary structure includes four short double-helical elements and three loops (D, anti-codon, and T loops). RNAcentral also lists the same sequence under 2 other names. Lineage: Bacteria; Pseudomonadati; Thermodesulfobacteriota; Desulfobacteria; Desulfobacterales. The record is from RNAcentral.
GGAGAGGUGUCCGAGUGGCCGAAGGAGCACGCUUGGAAAGCGUGUGUACGGCAACGUACCGAGGGUUCGAAUCCCUCCUUCUCCGCCA